GACGAACGCUGGCGGCGUGCUUAACGCAUGCAAGUCGAACGGAAAGGCCCUGCUUGCAGGGUACUCGAGUGGCGAACGGGUGAGUAACACGUGGGUGAUCUGCCCUGCACUUCGGGAUAAGCCUGGGAAACUGGGUCUAAUACCGGAUAGGAGCCAUUUUUAGUGUGAUGGUUGGAAAGUUUUUUCGGUGUAGGAUGAGCUCGCGGCCUAUCAGCUUGUUGGUGGGGUAAUGGCCUACCAAGGCGGCGACGGGUAGCCGGCCUGAGAGGGUGGACGGCCACAUUGGGACUGGGAUACGGCCCAGACGCCUACGGGAGGCAGCAGUGGGGAAUAUUGCACAAUGGGCGCAAGCCUGAUGCAGCGACGCCGCGUGGGGGAUGACGGCCUUCGGGUUGUAAACUCCUUUCGCUAGGGACGAAGCUUUUUGUGACGGUACCUAGAUAAGAAGCACCGGCUAACUACGUG
RNAcentral lists this ribosomal RNA (465 nucleotides) under uncultured bacterium. RNAcentral describes it as "partial 16S ribosomal RNA". It matches the Rfam family "Bacterial small subunit ribosomal RNA", at positions 28 to 507 of the family's 1533-position model. The record is from RNAcentral.